CCUACGGGAGGCAGCAGUGGGGAAUAUUGCACAAUGGGGGGAACCCUGAUGCAGCGACGCCGCGUGAGUGAAGAAGUAUUUCGGUAUGUAAAGCUCUAUCAGCAGGGAAGAAAAUGACGGUACCUGACUACGAAGCCCCGGCUAACUACGUGCCAGCAGCCGCGGUAAUACGUAGGGGGCAAGCGUUAUCCGGAUUUACUGGGUGUAAAGGGAGCGCAGACGGCUGUGCAAGUCUGGAGUGAAAGGCGGGGGCCCAACCCCCGGACUGCUCUGGAAACUGUAAAGCUGGAGUGCAGGAGAGGUAAGCGGAAUUCCUAGUGUAGCGGUGAAAUGCGUAGAUAUUAGGAGGAACACCAGUGGCGAAGGCGGCUUACUGGACUGCAACUGACGUUGAGGCUCGAAAGCGUGGGGAGCAAACAGGAUUAGAUACCCGAGUAGUC
RNAcentral lists this ribosomal RNA (440 nucleotides) under uncultured bacterium. RNAcentral's name for it is "partial 16S ribosomal RNA". It matches the Rfam family "Bacterial small subunit ribosomal RNA", at positions 338 to 795 of the family's 1533-position model. The record is from RNAcentral.